This is a long non-coding RNA of Asparagus officinalis (garden asparagus), 1066 nucleotides long. RefSeq lists it as uncharacterized. The record is from RefSeq and is a predicted model, not a curated record. Lineage: Eukaryota; Viridiplantae; Streptophyta; Magnoliopsida; Asparagales; Asparagaceae. The transcript has 2 exons.
AUUUUAUUAUAAUACUAACAAUAAUUUAUGGAUUAGAACAAGUGCAAAUAUGAUGUUUUUUGAACGAAUGGGAAUGCACCUAGAAGAUGUUUUGUGUAUGUAGAAUGGAGUCAAAAUAAUUGUUAAUUAGGAGAAGUGAGAGGAUUGAUGUUUACAAAGCAAUAAGAACUGGAGUUAGCUCUAGCUAACAUAGUUGAAUGAGAGAGGGGAUUCAUGUAUCUGACUCCAAAAAUGCUUUAUUGGUGUUGUCAUCAUGGAAUUUGCUGCAAAGGGUGCAGGGAGAUGGCCAGAACUGGGAUGCAUUUGAAGGGUCUUGUCUUCCACUGCAUUGAAAUCUACAUACCUAGUGAGACUGUGGAAAAAAGAAGCAACGUAAAGAGCUAAUAGCUGUGAAGCGCCGACAACGUAUGAUUAAUCGUGGUGUUGACUUGGAACAAAUAAAUCUGGUAAGCUUAACCUCUGCUGAUCGAGUUCGCCCUUCACCGCUCCCCGUCCCGCCGCCCUCGAGUUCUGCCUUCACCGCUCCCCGCCCCGCCGCCCUCCACUUCGCCCUUCACUGUUCAGUAUCUUUUUUCCAAUUUUUUUUAAUAUUUUGAUUUAAUAUUUCAUUUGCUUUAAAAUCUUCUUUACAAUCCUAUUAAGAACUUCCUAUUCAGUGCUGGAUAUUGAUGUAUUGUUGAAGUUUAUGAAAUCAAUACAAGCAUGAAGCUCUCUGAUGAUCUAAUAGGACUUGCUUACACUUGAUAAAUUCGUUUAUUGAUGAUGAAGGGAUCAUGCCAAUAGCUGAGAAUUGCUUACAUUUGUCUGCACUGAGCCUAGAGCACUGUCCUCGAAUUGCUGAUGCUUUGCUAGCUGGAGUUGAGCCUCAACUAUCUCUGUAAUUUUUGUAAAUAUUUUUUUUCUUGAUUGUUGCUGAGUAUGCGAAUAUGUGGAUGAUAUUCCUUUUCUAUUGUAAGUAUAGUUUAUACUUGUAGCUCCUUAUUCAAUUUUUGUAAAUCUGUUCUCUGAGCUUAUUGCCAUAUGUAGAAGGAAUUAUUUUUGAAUGUUGACAAAUGAUUCCUGUGAA